CCAAUAGCGUAUAUUAAAGUUGUUGCAGUUAAAAAGCUCGUAGUUGAAUUUCGAGAUCAAAUUGUUGGUCGUGCCUUGGUACGUACUGGCAUUAUUGGUUUCUCCCUUCUGACGAACCAUGAUGUCAUUAAUUUGGUGUCUUGGGGAAUCAGGACUGUUACUUUGAAAAAAUUAGAGUGUUUAAAGCAGGCUCACGCUUGAAUACAUUAGCAUGGAAUAAUGAAAUAGGACGUUUGAUUCUAUUUUGUUGGUUUCUAGGAUCGACGUAAUGAUUAAUAGGGAUAGUUGGGGGCAUUAGUAUUCAAUUGUCAGAGGUGAAAUUCUUGGAUUUAUUGAAGACUAACUACUGCGAAAGCAUUUGCCAAGGAUGUUUUCAUUAAUCAAGAACGAAAGUUAGGGGAUCGAAGACGAUCAGAUACCGUCGUAGUCUUAACCAUAAACUAUGCCGACUAGGGAUCGGAUGAUGUUAAUUUUUUAAUGACUCAUUCGGCGCCUUACG
Molecule: ribosomal RNA, 499 nt
Filed under: uncultured Glomeromycotina
Lineage: Eukaryota; Fungi; Glomeromycota
Description: partial small subunit ribosomal RNA
Rfam family: Eukaryotic small subunit ribosomal RNA
Source: RNAcentral